UACCGAGGUUGCAAGCGUUGUUCGGAAUUACUGGGCGUAAAGGGCGCGUAGGCGGCCUUCUAAGUCAGACGUGAAAUCCCCCGGCUUAACCUGGGAACUGCGUCUGAUACUGGGAGGCUUGAGUAUGGGAGAGGGAUGUAGAAUUCCAGGUGUAGCGGUGAAAUGCGUAGAUAUCUGGAGGAAUACCGGUGGCGAAGGCGGCAUCCUGGACCAUAACUGACGCUGAGGCGCGAAAGCUAGGGGAGCAAACGGG
Molecule: ribosomal RNA, 253 nt
Filed under: uncultured bacterium
Lineage: Bacteria
Description: partial 16S ribosomal RNA
Rfam family: Bacterial small subunit ribosomal RNA
Source: RNAcentral